AAACCAACAGGGAUUGCCUUAGUAGCGGCGAGUGAACCAACAAAAGCUCAGAUUUGAAAGCCUCUUUUGGCAUUGUAUUCUGAAGCCUKGGWCSUGGGACCUGGUGCUUAAGUCUUCUGGAAAGGAGCGCCAUGAGAGGGUGAUAGCCCCGUGAAGCACUAACCCCAUUGUAGGAUCUUGGCAUGGAGUCGAGUUGUUUGGGAAUGCAGCUCAAAUGGGUGGUAUGCUCCAUCUAAAGCUAAAUAUCUGCGAGAGACCGAUAGCGAACAAGUACUGUGAAGGAAAGAUGAAAAGAACUUUGAAAAGAGAGUGAAAUAGUACGUGAAAUUGUUGAAAUGGAAGGAUAGGCCGCUAACCACGCAGAGUCGUGUUUAGGGGGAGGACAAAAGCUGUAUACUUCAUCAUUCUUCGGAGUGAUGUCGUUGCGGUGCAUACUCUCCACCUGUCGCGCGAGGAUCUAAGACUCUGCUAAAUGGUGGUCUAUCAC
This 487-nucleotide ribosomal RNA is filed under the name Starmerella floricola. Its description in RNAcentral is "partial 18S ribosomal RNA". It matches the Rfam family "Eukaryotic large subunit ribosomal RNA", at positions 62 to 510 of the family's 3401-position model. Lineage: Eukaryota; Fungi; Ascomycota; Dipodascomycetes; Dipodascales; Trichomonascaceae. The record is from RNAcentral.